This 347-nucleotide ribosomal RNA is filed under the name Streptomyces hokutonensis. RNAcentral describes it as "bacterial SSU rRNA". It matches the Rfam family "Bacterial small subunit ribosomal RNA", at positions 119 to 480 of the family's 1533-position model. The record is from RNAcentral. Lineage: Bacteria; Bacillati; Actinomycetota; Actinomycetes; Kitasatosporales; Streptomycetaceae.
GGGCAAUCUGCCCUGCACUCUGGGACAAGCCCUGGAAACGGGGUCUAAUACCGGAUAACACUCCCGCACUCAUGUGUGGGUGUUGAAAGCUCCGGCGGUGCAGGAUGAGCCCGCGGCCUAUCAGCUUGUUGGUGAGGUAAUGGCUCACCAAGGCGACGACGGGUAGCCGGCCUGAGAGGGCGACCGGCCACACUGGGACUGAGACACGGCCCAGACUCCUACGGGAGGCAGCAGUGGGGAAUAUUGCACAAUGGGCGAAAGCCUGAUGCAGCGACGCCGCGUGAGGGAUGACGGCCUUCGGGUUGUAAACCUCUUUCAGCAGGGAAGAAGCGCAAGUGACGGUACCU